GGCAGACGGGUGAGUAAUGCAUAGGAAUCUACCUAGUAGUAUGGGAUAGCCACUAGAAAUGGUGGGUAAUACUGUAUAAUCCCUGCGGGGGAAAGAUUUAUCGCUAUUAGAUGAGCCUAUGUUAGAUUAGCUAGUUGGUAGGGUAAAGGCCUACCAAGGCAGUGAUCUAUAGCUGGUCUGAGAGGAUGAUCAGCCACACUGGAACUGAGAUACGGUCCAGACUCCUACGGGAGGCAGCAGUGGGGAAUAUUGGACAAUGGGCGCAAGCCUGAUCCAGCUAUGCCGCGUGAGUGAGGAAGGCCUUAGGGUUGUAAAACUCUUUCAGUGGGGAAGAUAAUGACGGUACCCACAGAAGAAGUCCCGGCAAACUCCGUGCCAGCAGCCGCGGUAAUACGGA
Molecule: ribosomal RNA, 397 nt
Filed under: uncultured Anaplasma sp.
Lineage: Bacteria; Pseudomonadati; Pseudomonadota; Alphaproteobacteria; Rickettsiales; Anaplasmataceae
Description: bacterial SSU rRNA
Rfam family: Bacterial small subunit ribosomal RNA
Source: RNAcentral